Molecule: ribosomal RNA, 432 nt
Filed under: uncultured bacterium
Lineage: Bacteria
Description: bacterial SSU rRNA
Rfam family: Bacterial small subunit ribosomal RNA
Source: RNAcentral
UACGGGAGGCAGCAGUGGGGAAUAUUGCACAAUGGGCGCAAGCCUGAUGCAGCCAUGCCGCGUGUAUGAAGAAGGCCUUCGGGUUGUAAAGUACUUUCAGUCGUGAGGAAGGUGUUAAGGUUAAUAACCUUAGCAAUUGACGUUAGCGACAGAAGAAGCACCGGCUAACUCCGUGCCAGCAGCCGCGGUAAUACGGAGGGUGCGAGCGUUAAUCGGAAUUACUGGGCGUAAAGGGCACGCAGGCGGUUAAUUAAGUUGGAUGUGAAAUCCCCGGGCUUAACCUGGGAAUGGCAUUCAAGACUGGUUAGCUAGAGUCUUGUAGAGGGGGUAGAAUUCCAUGUGUAGCGGUGAAAUGCGUAGAGAUGUGGAGGAAUACCGGUGGCGAAGGCGGCCCCUGGGACAAGACUGACGCUCAUGUGCGAAAGCUGGGGA